This 468-nucleotide ribosomal RNA is filed under the name uncultured bacterium. RNAcentral describes it as "partial 16S ribosomal RNA". It matches the Rfam family "Bacterial small subunit ribosomal RNA", at positions 28 to 507 of the family's 1533-position model. The record is from RNAcentral.
GACGAACGCUGGCGGCGUGCUUAACACAUGCAAGUCGAACGGAAAGGCCCUGCUCUUGUGGGGUGCUCGAGUGGCGAACGGGUGAGUAUCACGUGAGUAACCUGUCCCUGACUUUGGGAUAACUCCAGGAAACUGGGGCUCAUACCGGAUAUGAGCUCCUUCUGCAUGGUGGGGGUUGGAAAGAUUCGGCGGUUGGGGAUGGACGCGCGGCCUAUCAGCUUGUUGGUGAGGUAGUGGCUUACCAAGGCUUUGACGGGUAGCCGGCCUGGGAGGGUGACCGGCCACAUUGGGACUGAGAUACGACCCAGACUGCUACGGGAGGCAGCAGUGGGAAAUAGUGCACAAUGGGCGGAAGCCGGAUGCAGCGACGCCGCGUGCGGGAUGACGGCCUUCGGGUUGUAACCCGCUUUCGCCUGUGACGAAGCGUGAGUGACGGUAAUGAGUAAAGAAGCACCGGCUAACUACGUG